CCACACUCUUCUCAUUGCUUUACUCUCUCUUUCUCUCUUUAAGAAGGCGAUGAGGAUUGUUGAAUUUCUUCAUCUAAAUGCAAGACAAUGGUGAAGAUGACAGUGGAAAAUGAGGAGAGACAUUGCUAUGCUUCUUGAAUCUCAUCCUGAUGUAUUCGGCUUACUAUAUUGACACAAAUCAAGGCUGCUGAAUUCCUGUCCAGUUUGGGCAUUCUGUUUUUAUUAUAAAAAAAAAAGAAACAGAUUUUACUCAGUCCUUUCCUCAUUCACCUCUGCUCGGUUCGUCGGAGUUUUCGGAAUCCCAUUUCAGUGGUGGAAGCUCUUCCUCGCUGCUCUGCUCGUCCAAUUUCAGCUUGCUGCCUUCGAAAGGGUAAGACUUGCAAACAGUUUUAUGAAGUGCAGCUCUCCUCUUCGAUUCACUGUCUCAUGAUAGAUUAGAGAAAAGAGUCUUGUUUGUCUGAGGUUGUUGUGUAGAAUUCAGAAGUCCAAGAAUUCGACGAAUCCGUACGUUGA
Solanum stenotomum is the source of this 513-nucleotide long non-coding RNA. RefSeq lists it as uncharacterized. The record is from RefSeq and is a predicted model, not a curated record. NCBI's taxonomy places the organism in Eukaryota, Viridiplantae, Streptophyta, Magnoliopsida, Solanales, Solanaceae. The transcript is spliced from 4 exons.